GGGCCCGCACAAGCGGUGGAGCAUGUGGUUUAAUUCGACGCAACGCGAAGAACCUUAUCCUGGGUUUGAACUGUAGGAAGUAGUUCCCUUGAAAGAGGGAACGACCUGUAAAGUCAGGAGCCUAUAGAGGUGCUGCAUGGCUGUCGUCAGCUCGUGUCGUGAGAUGUUGGGUUAAGUCCCGCAACGAGCGCAACCCUUAUCCCAUGUUGCCACGUCCGUAAAGGACAGCACUCUUGGGAAACUGCCUCGGAUAACGGGGAGGAAGGUGGGGAUGACGUCAAGUCCUCAUGGCCUUUAUGUCCAGGGCUACACACGUGCUACAAUGGUCGGUACAGCGAGCAGCAAAUCCGCAAGGAAGAGCUAAUCUCUAAAAGCCGGCCUCAGUUCAGAUAGUGGGCUGCAACCCGCCCACUUGAAGGUGGAAUCGCUAGUAAUCGGGGAUCAGCAGGCCCCGGUGAAUACGUUCCCGGGCCUU
This 475-nucleotide ribosomal RNA is filed under the name uncultured bacterium. RNAcentral's name for it is "bacterial SSU rRNA". It matches the Rfam family "Bacterial small subunit ribosomal RNA", at positions 917 to 1382 of the family's 1533-position model. The record is from RNAcentral.